GACGAACGCUGGCGGCGUGCUUAACACAUGCAAGUCGAACGGAAAGGCCCUGCUUGCAGGGUACUCGAGUGGCGAACGGGUGAGUAACACGUGGGUGAUCUGCCCUGCACUUCGGGAUAAGCCUGGGAAACUGGGUCUAAUACCGGAUAGGAGCCAUUUUUAGUGUGAUGGUUGGAAAGUUUUUUCGGUGUAGGAUGAGCUCGCGGCCUAUCAGCUUGUUGGUGGAGUAAUGGCCUACCAAGGCGGCGACGGGUAGCCGGCCUGAGAGGGUGGACGGCCACAUUGGGACUGAGAUACGGCCCAGACUCCUACGGGAGGCAGCAGUGGGGAAUAUUGCACAAUGGGCGCAAGCCUGAUGCAGCGACGCCGCGUGGGGGAUGACGGCCUUCGGGUUGUAAACUCCUUUCGCUAGGGACGAAGCUUUUUGUGACGGUACCUAGAUAAGAAGCACCGGCUAACUACGUG
RNAcentral lists this ribosomal RNA (465 nucleotides) under uncultured bacterium. RNAcentral's name for it is "partial 16S ribosomal RNA". It matches the Rfam family "Bacterial small subunit ribosomal RNA", at positions 28 to 507 of the family's 1533-position model. The record is from RNAcentral.